UUCACGACGUGGGCGGAUACCUGUACGUGAGUCGAUCUUUUGUAGAGAGACAGUGCGGAUCGGAGAGAUCGUCGCGACAGACAGUAGAGCCGCGCACUUUUGCUUGAAGAGCCCACAGGCAGAUAUUUUCUCUUUGUUUCUCCCAUUUUCUAUCCUUACAAAACCACCCACAAUCGAAAACGAUGAGCAAACCUGGGUGAAGAUGAGAAAUGG
Non-coding RNA from Caenorhabditis elegans, 213 nucleotides. The record is from Ensembl. Lineage: Eukaryota; Metazoa; Nematoda; Chromadorea; Rhabditida; Rhabditidae.